Molecule: long non-coding RNA, 1063 nt
Organism: Xenia sp. Carnegie-2017
Lineage: Eukaryota; Metazoa; Cnidaria; Anthozoa; Malacalcyonacea; Xeniidae
Exons: 2
Source: RefSeq, a predicted model, not a curated record
UCUUUGAACACAUAAAGAUAGUCUACGAUCGAUGAAUUAACAUGUAUAACCAACCCAAUUGUGAUGGGCAUUCACGAUACAGCAUAUUCAAAGCAUCGUAAAGAAUCCUAUUUGUUCAAAAGAAUGAUCAAUUUCGUUGGUUUCUUGGUAUUUCUAUGUUUCGCUCUUUGACCACAAAGUUGUCGUCAAGAUCCAGUUUAGUAGACAUGUCAGGCUCACUGACAGUGAAAAAAGAAGAACCCUAACAGUGGUAUGUGCUUAUAAUUUUUUCUUUCCAUCAAACAAAUAAAUUCUUCUUCAGUUUUUUUUCAUACAAGGGACGAUGUGAUGUUUUUUCAUGUCAUAAUCUUAACUUGUUUCAUAGAUGUUUCGUUUAUAUGAGGAGGAUGCUGAUGGGAAGACGAGGAAGAUGCAGAUGAAGAGACGAGGAGUUCAAAAGUAUUACCUCAAAUAUUUAUUAUAGAAUAUACAAGAUAUUGCAACAUACGGGCAAAAUGUUGAAAAAUCUUCAAACUCGAUGGUCUUUUAUAAGCCUUCGAACCUUACCGUAAUAAUUAAACAACCUUUUGGAUGAAAUUGUUGUGGGGACUGGGGAUUCUACCUUCCCCAGCCACCUUGGCCCUGGCGUCCUUGGAAGGAAGAAAUCAGGGGUUUCUCUUUCACGAAUUAUUGAAAUAUAACGUUAAAAAGUAGAAAACGUUACUAAACAUUAAAAAUCGAAAUGCUUAAAUAAAAGCUCGAUGUGUAACAACUCCAUUUACGCAUCACAAUCGCAAAUCUCAGAACGCACGUUAUGAAUUAAAAGAAAAAGGCGAACUGUAUGGCAGCAUGUUGGUACUCGGUUGGAAGCUACGUUUUACGUAAAUUGCGGUACACUUGGCACAUUUGGUAUUUGCAAAAAACAACAAUUUUUCCAAGGAUGCAUGCUACCACCAAAUCAUUUUGUAAAUAUAUUUAAUGUAAGAGUCAUUUUUGUAAAGAUUUCUUGUAAAAAUAGACAAGUUGAUCAAGUAUUGGGCAUCAAACGAAAAUCUUUACCGACAGUUUGCCGGUUUUCCCUUAA